GGAAACAGGUGCUAAUACCGUAUAACACUAUUUUCCGCAUGGAAGAAAGUUGAAAGGCGCUUUUGCGUCACUGAUGGAUGGACCCGCGGUGCAUUAGCUAGUUGGUGAGGUAACGGCUCACCAAGGCCACGAUGCAUAGCCGACCUGAGAGGGUGAUCGGCCACACUGGGACUGAGACACGGCCCAGACUCCUACGGGAGGCAGCAGUAGGGAAUCUUCGGCAAUGGACGAAAGUCUGACCGAGCAACGCCGCGUGAGUGAAGAAGGUUUUCGGAUCGUAAAACUCUGUUGUUAGAGAAGAACAAGGAUGAGAGUAGAACGUUCAUCCCUUGACGGUAUCUAACCAGAAAGCCACGGCUAACUACGUGCCAGCAGCCGCGGUAAUACGUAGGUGGCAAGCGUUGUCCGGAUUUAUUGGGCGUAAAGCGAGCGCAGGCGGUUUCUUAAGUCUGAUGUGAAAGCCCCCGGCUCAACCGGGGAGGGUCAUUGGAAACUGGGAGACUUGAGUGCAGAAGAGGAGAGUGGAAUUCCAUGUGUAGCGGUGAAAUGCGUAGAUAUAUGGAGGAACACCAGUGGCGAAGGCGGCUCUCUGGUCUGUAACUGACGCUGAGGCUCGAAAGCGUGGGGAGCGAACAGGAUUAGAUACCCUGGUAGUCCACGCCGUAAACGAC
RNAcentral lists this ribosomal RNA (671 nucleotides) under uncultured bacterium. RNAcentral describes it as "bacterial SSU rRNA". It matches the Rfam family "Bacterial small subunit ribosomal RNA", at positions 152 to 810 of the family's 1533-position model. The record is from RNAcentral.